Molecule: ribosomal RNA, 717 nt
Filed under: uncultured Actinomycetes bacterium
Lineage: Bacteria; Bacillati; Actinomycetota; Actinomycetes
Description: bacterial SSU rRNA
Rfam family: Bacterial small subunit ribosomal RNA
Source: RNAcentral
GUAGUCCACGCCCGUAAACGUUGGGCGCCUAGGUUUUGGGAACUUUCCACGUUCUCCGUGCCGCAGCUAACGGCAUUAAGCGCCCCGCCUGGGGAGUACGCCGCAAGGCCUAAAACUCAAAGGAAUUGAGCGGGGGCCCGCACAAGCGCGGAGCAUGUGGCUUAAUUCGACGCAACGCGAAGAACCUUACCAAAGGCUUGACAUGCAGGGAAAUCUCACAGAGAUGUGAGGUCCGCAAGGGUCCUGUACAGGUGGUGCAUGGCUGUCGUCAGCUCGUGUCGUGAGAUGUUGGGUUAAGUCCCGCAACGAGCGCAACCCUCGUUCUAUGUUGCCAGCGCGUAAUGGCGGGGACUCAUAGGAGACUGCCGGGGUCAACUCGGAGGAAGGUGGGGACGACGUCAAGUCAUCAUGCCCCUUAUGUCUUGGGCUGCACACAUGCUACAAUGGCAGGUACAAAGGGCUGCGAAACCGCAAGGUAGAGCGAAUCCCAAAAAGCCUGUCUCAGUUCGGAUUGGGGUCUGCAACUCGACCCCAUGAAGUCGGAGUCGCUAGUAAUCGCAGAUCAGCAACGCUGCGGUGAAUACGUUCCCGGGCCUUGUACACACCGCCCGUCACGUCACGAAAGUCGGUAACAGCCGAAGCCAGUGGCCCAACCCGUAAGGGAGGGAGCUGUCGAAGCUGGGAUCGGCGAUUGGGACGAAGUCGUAACAAGGUAGC